GCGGCGCUGCGCCCUGCGCCGGGCCUGGCACCGGGCGAGCGGCCGAACACGCAGCCGCCCGGAUUAGCAGCAUUAGCAGCCAGCGCCGAGCAACAAUUAAUCAUUUGCUGGGGUUACAGGAGGCCCAGCCUGGUGUCCUUGCAGAUGAAACAGGAUUGGAAGAUGAUGUGGUUUGAGCCCCCACUUCCAACACCUUCCAGCUACUAAUGGGUGCUCGCUCCAGAAAAGAACUAAGCCAAAGAAAUCACCCCAAGCAUCUACAGUGGAGGCACCCAGUCUUCAGCAACAGCAGGUUUUAGUGCCUCCCAGUGUGCCCUAAUGAAUUAAUAACCUGCAGGGCAGUUCGAGCCAAGAAAUAUCUGAAACAAAUCCAUGGAGCCACCACUGAAUGCAAUAAUGGAGAAUCAGGGUGAAGGGAUGGAGUCAAAAGGUUCCCCUAUCUGGGCAAUCCUAGCUGGAUCUAAAAAGAUGACAUUCCCAAGCCAGGAGUUGGACUGUGUGAUCCUUGUCAGUUCCUUGCAGCUCAGGGUAGUCUAUGACUUGAUGAAGCUGGGGCUGUGUGGAGGCUCAGUGUGACCCACGGUGAGCCCGUGCCACCCCUGCUCCCACAGCAAGGAGGAGGGCAGUGCUCUGGCUGCCCAGGUAUCUGCCAGCAGGUGUCACUUACACCACUUUGAUUUGAACCACUGCAGUCCCACCAUCCCUUUGCUUCCCCCUUGGUGAACCAAAGGACAGAGGAGGCAAAAUGAGCCCAGAGUGCCUUUUGUUUCCUUGGAGUCUGUAUUAGCAGCUGGGAUAGCUCAUGUGUAUCCCAACUUGGGGUUGCUUGGGAUAGGUGCAUUGUUUAUGAACACUCCUGGGCCUCUUUCUAAUCUUUCAUCCUUGCGUAUCGUCCAAUGUGCAUCCCAUUUUGUUGGAAGACUGCUCCUGUUCUGUUGCAAAAUAGCCUCUGUUUAACAACAAGUCUCUGCCUUCAUCCUUGUGUGGAGCUGAGCAGCCCACCUUCAGAUCAGCGUGGAUUCCUGAAAAUCCCACAGUCUCACUUCACAGACACUUUGCAGCUGAACUCAGGUGACUUGAAAGAGCAUUUUGACAGACUGGGAUGAGAGAAGCCGCUAUCAUUGCUGCUGCUUUUGUGUGGUACAGCAUGGGCAAAGCUCUCGGCCGGCUGCCAGGGGUUUGGUUUGCGUGGCAGAGGUGGAGCCCAGGGAGAGGAGCCAUGCAUGUUUGUUAGAUGGGAAUAGGUUAAAGGGACAAGGAAGCCCUUGGAAGUGAAGUAAGGUGUCUGUAGGCCCUGGAAAGAAAGCAGUGCUUGCUGCCCAGGGAUGAGGCUGGGCAAAGCCACCCAGGGUGGUGCCACUGCCCCUCAUGGGUGUCAUGCAGGAGCAUCACCUGCAGAAGGUCCUGCACAUGGGGUGGUCUGCAGAAGUCACUUGGCUUUGGUGUGCUAAAAUCCACUGUCAUCUGCUGAAGUUAUGGGAGGACUAGACUGCAGUGCUCCUGGUCCCUCUGCUCAUGCCAUGGCACUGCCCUUUAUUUUCAGACUUCUAACAAAACCUGGACUAAAAAAUGAAACUAAACAUUGCAAUUUGUUCUUAGAUUUGUUGUAAAUGCACAUCCUUUUCCUGAAGAUAGAUCCCCAUAACAAUCAUCAAGAAAAACAACUUCAAACUAAGGCUGCUCUAGAGGAUUAUGAACACCAGAAAACCAAUGCCAAAACCCUGAUAGAAACAAUGCAAAAAGAGGGAGAAAUAAAAAGGUAACAUGUGUUAAGGGUUUGAUCAUGAUUACAGUUGUCACAUCCUCUAUCAUAAAUCUAAACCUGGGAAAAUUAACAGUAAAGAAACAUUUCAGUAAUCCCUUUAACUUUGAAUCUCUGCAACAGAAAUACUAAAAUGCAAAAUGUUUUCAUGUGGGUUUCAGUGAUGGAUGUAUAAAACAGAACAAAACACUUUUUUCAAACCGGAAAUCAUUAAUCUACUUUCAGUAACUAUGGCUUGUCUUGCAUUAACUUAGGGGACAUAUUUUCUACCUCUCCUCACAUUAUCAUAUUGAAUAAUACUCAUAGAAGCCAAUUGAACUAUUUGUGAGUAAAAUGUUACUCAAAAAAAAUAAGAUUAUCAAAGCCAAAUCAUAUGUAAAUAAUAUCCUUCAAAGUCUGCUGAACACAUCUUCUACCCACAGAGUGAUAACAUUUUAAUUAUCAAAAUAUAAAAAUGCUCACUGCAAAAGCCCAGGAGUCCAAAGUUUUUGAAUUAAGUCCAUAAAAAAUAAAUAUAUUAGGUUCAAAAUUGUAGAAGGCUUUAAAUAAUGUAUUAAACUUCUUUUAGUUUUUUCUGCAGUAAAAUGGCUCCAAUUGGUGUUGUCAAACCUUUUGCAUCAACAGUGCUUUUUAAUAAAAGUUGAAAUUUUCUUGUACUCUCUUGAUUCUUAGGGGUCUUUGUGAAAAGCACAAAUAUAGUGAUAAGCAAGGCAGCAUUGUAACAUUUGCAACAACACAGAAAUUACAAUUAAUGAAGAAUUUUAGUUGCAGUGACCUGUAAAUGAGACAUGUUACCUUAACUAGCUCUUGAUCAUCUUCCUUUGGAACUGGCAGUCCAUUCUGGAGUUACCAACUAUAAGAGAAAAAAUACUGUGUGCUUCCAGCACUUACAGAAACUAGCUUACCAGAAUAAACCUUCAUAAAUAUUUUUGCAGGUCAGGGUGGUGUUUCCACAGAAAAAACCAACAGAAUUUACCCAAACUGCAUGUUAAUGGAAUGACAAAGUAAAUCUUCACAUUUUCAUUUGUGCUAAUUAAAGGGGUUGAAUGACUGGGUAUUCAAAAUGUUACAUAUUUUGUAGUAAUUAAUGUCUACUGCUUUUGAAAUGGUUGGGUUUUUUGAUGCUAACAUUCUCAAAAAUUAUUUUAGGAAACAUUUGCUGGUUCUUGUUGAAGCUUUAACUAUGUGUAGGUUUAACUACAUCCUUUAUUCCUACAAAUACCCUUCUAUUUUAAAUAAAUAGAAGGUGCAUUAGAGGGUAAAAUAACUACCAACUACCAUCACAGUGUCAUCAGCGAGCUCAUCAAGAUGAUCUGUGUAGUAUUACAUCAUGUAGGUUUCUCUCUGGGCCUUAGACCUUCAGUCUCUAAUUUCUGCCCACCUUGGUAGAGCCAACCAGCUGCAGAUGGCUUAGUACUUAGAAGAGGCAAAAAGUGCUGCUGUGAGCACUGCUCUUAAGGGUGAUGUAUGAAGGGAGAGCAGAGCUUUUAAUUCAGAAAGAUUGAAUUCACAUAGCAAGCCAAGACAUUGGAGGUUUUAAAUAUCUGGUAUCUUAGUACAGGGAGUGAGUCUAUGACAGUGAAUAUACCUGUUUCAGCUUCAUUUUUCUUCUAAGAGUGUGUCUGUAAGCAAUAUCCCUAAUCAUCACUGUCCAUGUCUGACAAGCCCCAUGUUGAACUAGUGGGGAAAGUUGACUUGGGCUGUUACUGGCUGAUAGUUGCCAAAUCAUGUUAUGAAAUUACCUGAA
Long non-coding RNA from Taeniopygia guttata (zebra finch), 3509 nucleotides. The record is from Ensembl. Lineage: Eukaryota; Metazoa; Chordata; Aves; Passeriformes; Estrildidae.